Symphalangus syndactylus (siamang) is the source of this 591-nucleotide long non-coding RNA. RefSeq lists it as uncharacterized. The record is from RefSeq and is a predicted model, not a curated record. Lineage: Eukaryota; Metazoa; Chordata; Mammalia; Primates; Hylobatidae.
GAUCACCUUGCCAGCCUCAGUAAAUGCUAUAUUGAUGUGUUUUAGGAAAUCCACAUUGAACAAAGAUUUAUACUAAUUGCUGAAGACAAGAAGGAAUAAGAUAUGAUUGCUAUACAUGAUAUAUUUUGGGAAGAAAUUGGCAAAGAAGAUAUCAUGUGCUCUUGAAGAAUGAAGUUUUUCAGCUGCCAGCACUGUGCCCUCCCCCAGCUCUGUGCAGGGCCAGUAUCUCCCACAGGGCAGCCUCACGGCCUUCACUGCCUCUCUCCAGCCAGCUCCAGCACUACAGGACAGCGAUUGGAAUUAAAUGUUACGUGGAAAAAAGCCAACAUGGCAUUCUGUUAAGAAGACAGACAACCUAAGUGAUGUCUAUCCUGCUUCAAAGAAAAAACUCAGGAGGCUGUACAUUCAUUUAGAGCAGAGUAGACGAAACCUCCUACGUUCUGGCUUGGGAACCAGGAGGAAUCACUGACUGAGAUUUGCCAACCAGACCUCUAUGGUAAGUUUGAAUUGAAAUGUGUGGGUUGAUUUUCAUUAUUCAUUAUUUCCUUUGAUCUUGGGGAGGGGUAGAAAUUAACAAAUUUUAAUGCAGUG